This 93-nucleotide transfer RNA is filed under the name Pseudomonas sp. FeN3W. RNAcentral describes it as "tRNA-Ser". It matches the Rfam family "tRNA". From Rfam's summary of the family: Transfer RNA (tRNA) molecules are approximately 80 nucleotides in length. Their secondary structure includes four short double-helical elements and three loops (D, anti-codon, and T loops). Lineage: Bacteria; Pseudomonadati; Pseudomonadota; Gammaproteobacteria; Pseudomonadales; Pseudomonadaceae. The record is from RNAcentral.
GGGAAGUUGGCAGAGCUGGCUUAUUGCUCUGGUCUUGAAAACCAGCGGGUCUUGAAAGAGGCCCCGUGAGUUCGAAUCUCACACUUCCCGCCA